This is a non-coding RNA of Onthophagus taurus, 471 nucleotides long. The record is from RefSeq and is a predicted model, not a curated record. NCBI's taxonomy places the organism in Eukaryota, Metazoa, Arthropoda, Insecta, Coleoptera, Scarabaeidae.
AAUUACAAAGUCAUCCAGUAAUAUUCAAACCAGAUUGCUUGAAGUACAUCAAAAUUUGAAGUUAUUAAGUUUUCAAUAAUGUUACAGUUUGUUGGUUUUGUUCUUAUAACAGAAUUUUUUAGUGCCAUAUUAUUUUUUUAUUUCUUUCAAUGUUUCUUUUACAUCCCUGUACCAAUCAUUUAAUUAAGCAAAAUUGCAGAAAAAGAAUUAUAAUCUUAAUAAAUUCUCUUCCAAAGGACCAGAGAGAGUUUGCACAGAGAAUGUAUAUGCUAUACGCUAGAGCAACAUCAAAGCCAGAGCCCAACAACAUUGUGACCGUCAUCGUUUACCAGGUAGAAAGGAACGUGACGUAAUUGGUUGUCACAUUAACUUGUAACGAAGCUUUUGAAGUCUAACCAACUUUUCAAACUGUUGUAUUAUUUUUGUAUUUAAUGAAAGUCAUAAUUAAAAACCUUUGAAAUGAAAGGAAAA